UCUCUAUCCCAAGGCCAGAGAAAUUGAUUAUAAUUCCAUCUAAAGGAAUUGUGAUGCUACUGGUGCUUCUACUGGUGCCACAACCUUGAAUUUGCUGAGCAUGCUGCAUAACAACUCUCUUGAGGCAUUUCCUGCUGCUGCAUUGACUCCAACUCACUGUUUUGAGCUUGAUUUGGGGAAGCUUCUUGGAGUUGAGCAUUUUCAGCAAGUGGAUUCUGCUGCAUUUCCUCACCAGGGAUCAAAGGAGCUUCAACUGCGGCAUCAUUAUUUUCUGGAAUAAGAGGAAUCACAACUUGUUCAGGACCAGCAACAGGAACGAAAAGAGGCUGAUCAGCUUGGUUGACUGAGCUAACAUUGGAGCCUUGGUUUUGGUCAUCCUGAUCAUCUCCGAUUGGCCAUUCCCCAAAGCCUUGCUGGUUCAUCUGAUUUUCUGCCCAUUCAGCCACUUGUUCAGGUUCUCCAGGGGCUACAGGUCCUUCAUGAGGGUGAGGGUUACCAUUGUUUGGAGGGGGUGGGAUUUCCUCAUCGGGCAUCAUAUCUGCAAAUUCAUUGUUGAGGAUAUACACAGGCACAGUCCAAGAUCUCCCCUCUCCAUCUAUAGUUCUACCAGCUUUCAGUUUCAGGCUACGAGGUAUUUCUAGUAGAUCCUCAAAUAGUACUUUCACCAAUACCCUUGACAAACUGUAAUCUGUAGCAUGCCAAUGAAGAACCUGAGCAAAAGGGCUACAUGCUUUAUCUAUAUAUUGUUUUUCCUUGUAAUCCAGGGGGUAUCCCAGAAGUAAAAUCCAACCAAUCCUAUUGAAAGGUGACCUCUUACAGUUCAUGGCAGCAUCAUGAUUAACAAAAGUUACAGUAUGAGGGCCGACCUGGUGCGGGCUAGUAUGGACCAGAAUAUCACGCUCACAAGAGUUUCUGAACUUGUAGAUGCCGACACCAUGUGGAUGAAUGCUAUAUGUUGCGAUCUCCUUUCUCAUUACCGUAGUCACGUAGUGGCUGAUCUCGUGGAGCAAGGCCAGUCUUUGCGCCGGGGUCAGCGCAUCUUCAGUGGUGGCAAUCGCGUACUCCUCAUGACGCUUGACCGCCGGAACUCCCAAGCAGACAGUGGUUCGGACUCGACGCCCUGGUCCGCCAUCCUCCUCCACCAUCCCCACUGGGAUGUAGGGAGCAGGGUUGAUAGCAAAGUUCAUGUCGACCCUCCUUUCUCCUUCGCUAAGGGUGCUUGUGGAAGGAGAGAAGUGCUCUAGAGGUUGGUGGACUGGGGAUGAAACUGGAGUGCUGAUGAUUUCUGGCUGGGAGGAAGGAAUGUCGCUCCUAAUAGCCGAGUUUUCGCAGAAAAAUGAGGAGGCGUUGCUUGCGUUAAAGCUGUUCGCCGCAUGCACCUCGAAGCUUG
Molecule: long non-coding RNA, 1390 nt
Organism: Panicum virgatum (switchgrass)
Lineage: Eukaryota; Viridiplantae; Streptophyta; Magnoliopsida; Poales; Poaceae
Exons: 3
Source: RefSeq, a predicted model, not a curated record